RNAcentral lists this ribosomal RNA (497 nucleotides) under uncultured bacterium. Its description in RNAcentral is "partial 16S ribosomal RNA". It matches the Rfam family "Bacterial small subunit ribosomal RNA", at positions 28 to 507 of the family's 1533-position model. The record is from RNAcentral.
GAUGAACGCUGGCGGCGUGCCUAAUACAUGCAAGUCGAGCGAACGGACGAGAAGCUUGCUUCUCUGAUGUUAGCGGCGGACGGGUGAGUAACACGUGGAUAACCUACCUAUAAGACUGGGAUAACUUCGGGAAACCGGAGCUAAUACCGGAUAAUAUUUUGAACCGCAUGGUUCAAAAGUGAAAGACGGUCUUGCAGUCACUUAUAGAUGGAUCUGCGCUGCAUUAGCUAGUUGGUAAGGUAACGGCUUACCAAGGCAACGAUGCAUAGCCGACCUGAGAGGGUGAUCGGCCACACUGGAACUGAGACACGGUCCAGACUCCUACGGGAGGCAGCAGUAGGGAAUCUUCCGCAAUGGGCGAAAGCCUGACGGAGCAACGCCGCGUGAGUGAUGAGGGUCUUCGGAUCGUAAAACUCUGUUAUUAGGGAAGAACAUAUGUGUAAGUAACUGUGCACAUCUUGACGGUACCUAAUCAGAAAGCCACGGCUAACUACGUG